This 429-nucleotide ribosomal RNA is filed under the name Acidobacteriota bacterium. RNAcentral's name for it is "Acidobacteria bacterium partial 16S ribosomal RNA". It matches the Rfam family "Bacterial small subunit ribosomal RNA", at positions 355 to 776 of the family's 1533-position model. Lineage: Bacteria; Pseudomonadati; Acidobacteriota. The record is from RNAcentral.
UGGGGAAUUUUGUACAAUGGGGGAAACCCUGAUCCAGCCAUCCCGCGUGUGCGAUGAAGGCCUCCGGGUUGUAAAGCACUUUUGGCAGGAAAGAAACGUCAUGGGUUAAUACCCCGUGAAACUGACGGUACCUGCAGAAUAAGCACCGGCUAACUACGUGCCAGCAGCCGCGGGAAUACGUAGGGUGCAAGCGUUAAUCGGAAUUACUGGGCGUAAAGCGUGCGCGGGCGGUUCGGAAAGAAAGAUGUGAAAUCCCAGAGCUCAACUUUAGAACUGCAUUUUUAACUACCGCGCUAGAGUGUGUCAGAGGGAGGUGUUAUUCCGCGUGUAGCAGUGAAAUGCGUAGUUAUGCGGAGGAACACCGAUGGCGAAGGCAGCCUCCUGGUAUAACACUGACGCUCAUGCACGACAGCGUGGGGAGCAAACAGG